Molecule: unclassified non-coding RNA, 148 nt
Organism: Pongo abelii (Sumatran orangutan)
Lineage: Eukaryota; Metazoa; Chordata; Mammalia; Primates; Hominidae
Rfam family: Metazoan signal recognition particle RNA
About the family: The signal recognition particle (SRP) is a universally conserved ribonucleoprotein.
Source: Ensembl
GCUGGGCUUGGAGGCGCAUGCCUGUAAUCCCAGCUACUAGGGAGGCUGAGGCAGGAGAAUCACUUGAACCUGGGAGGUGGAGGUUGCAGUGAGCUGAGAUUGAGCCACUGCACUCCAUCCUGGGUGACAGAAUGAUACUCUGUCUCCA